AAAGAAAUUAAAAAUAAAGCUUCUA
This 25-nucleotide transfer RNA is filed under the name Dilophotes sp. AUa LB-2014. RNAcentral describes it as "partial tRNA-Ser". The record is from RNAcentral. Lineage: Eukaryota; Metazoa; Arthropoda; Insecta; Coleoptera; Lycidae. RNAcentral also lists the same sequence under 1 other name.